Tarenaya hassleriana is the source of this 1502-nucleotide long non-coding RNA. RefSeq lists it as uncharacterized. NCBI's taxonomy places the organism in Eukaryota, Viridiplantae, Streptophyta, Magnoliopsida, Brassicales, Cleomaceae. The transcript has 6 exons. The record is from RefSeq and is a predicted model, not a curated record.
UGAAACAUCUCGUCAGUUACCUUAUCCCCGUCGCGUCGAUCGCCGAGGGUUUUCCGGCGUCGGCUUCCUUUUCAAUCUAAUUUCCGGAGGAUCUCGCGAAUUCCGAACUGGACAAAGGAAUGUUGGUUCCACAGUUUUGUACUUUGAGGGACACAUAAAUCGUUGGUACUAUUCUAUUACUACAGCAACAAGCUACUCAUAUAAAGCAUCGAACUUUGGGAACUAAAGGAGGUUAUGAUUAACGCAGAGCUCUUGAUCCUCCAUGGAAUGAUUCUUUGGAAGACCCACUUCAAGUUUUCCCCUGUUUGCCUGGAGGACUGGAGGAGAUUGGAUAGUGAUUGCUGGCUCAAAAACAAAGAGGAAGACCGGUCUUUGGUCCAAAAACAGAACACCCAUUUGCUGAUUCGAGCUUCCUUUUCUUUUCUGCAUUCUCGAGGUUAGUCCUAAAGGUGCAGCCUUUCCUUUACUUUAAAACCCAAACACAUAUUUGAAACUCUUUUGUGUUAAAUAUAAUCAUGAAAUCUUGAAGGUUGAUCUGUAGAGGAGAAUGUUUAAGUUCCGUUUUUCUUUUGAAUUUUAAAGUGUAAUAUUCUUAUUCCCGAUGAGAUCUCUGAUGUGGCCUGAGUGAAGCAGCCACCAUGAGAAAGGGUCCAAAAGAGGCCUAAAAGCAAACCUUGGGUUCUAAUUGGAAUUGAAUCUAAAUGAUGAUAUUUCCUUUGGAUAAAGCUCUAAUACACAGAUUCAUUCAGACAAUUAUGGCUGAUGACAACAGCUCUAAUAUAGAUUAAGCCACUAACACCAUAUGCUUUUUGCAUGGAAAUCUGUGUGAAGAUACAUCAUCCACUAUCUUGUAUCAGUAGUGUUUAUGUGCAUUUUUAUGAGCUCGUUACUACUUUGAUCUAAAAACUACUACAGUUCAAGUUAUUUAAUUUUAGUAUGGGUUAUGUUUGUAAUAGGAAAAACGGAGUCUACAUUCUGUGAUCAACAUUUUCUUUUUUGAAACAAUUUCAGGUAGAGACACAUUCAUUACACACGGAGAUGUAAACUUUAUUAACAGUUACUCAUCCACAGGCUUGGACCCCACCUGUCCACUCUACAAAGGGUGAUAAAUGAUAAUGGUGGUCGGAGAGAUGCUUUUUUUUUUUGCCGGAAACAGACAGAGAUCAAACAGUCUCCUGAUGUUCGGACAUGGCAGGAGCCGGACCUGUGGCUAUUGUGAAAUGAACGCCCCUAUUACGCUGUCCAGAUUGCAACACAUAUGCAACUCGCCUAGCCAAUGCUGUGGCUUCCUGUGUUUAAUAGUCCAGCAAAGAUCAAAGACGAAAGUGAGCGGGCGUAAAGAUAAUCGGGAUAUUAUUCAAAAUGCGCAAAAUCCUGCCUCUGCUUCUCAACACGGGAGCAGGAACCCAGCAGCUCGGAGGAGGAAAAGCUGUAAAAGAAUAUUUGCAACGUAAAUACAGCGCGUAGACAGGAGACUCACUUUGUCCGUAUCGGGACCUGUC